UAUUUGCCUCUGUGUUCUCCCACAUACAAU
Molecule: non-coding RNA, 30 nt
Filed under: Rattus norvegicus (Norway rat)
Lineage: Eukaryota; Metazoa; Chordata; Mammalia; Rodentia; Muridae
Source: RNAcentral